Choloepus didactylus (southern two-toed sloth) is the source of this 833-nucleotide long non-coding RNA. RefSeq lists it as uncharacterized. The transcript is spliced from 4 exons. Lineage: Eukaryota; Metazoa; Chordata; Mammalia; Pilosa; Megalonychidae. The record is from RefSeq and is a predicted model, not a curated record.
UCUGAAGGGGAGUCAGCAUCCAUCUGACGCUCCCUCAGAAAUCCCCGCAGCGAUUUCUGAUUCCUGACCCCGUCCUUCAGAGACGAGGGAACGAGGCUCAGAGAGGCUGAGUGGCUUGCCCAACGCUGCACAGCCAGGAGGAGUCUGAACUAAACCGAGGCGGCGGGUGGGACUUCCCUCCCUCCGGCCGCUCUCGGGUCUCCCAGGCACAGGAUCCCCUGGCGGCCAGGAGGGGGUUUUCCUGCCCCGGUUUCCUGCCGAGGCCCGGGGACACCAGCGCCCGCGAGCCCGCGGUGACAGUCCCGGGACUUCGGGGCUUUUCCGUGCAGGCCGAACCUCCAGGGUUUGGGAGAGGACUUCGCUGCCGGCAGGGAGCGCCAGCAUCUCCACCACCACUCACGGGGCUGCGGGAACCAACUGAAUAAGCCUGGGGAAAUGACUCAGGUCUGUUUCACAUUUGUAAAUGGUUAGCUUGCUUCAACAGCAAUCCCCUACGAUUCUUGUCUGGAAGGAGAGCGUCCGCCCUGAAGGGGCAAGAAAGGGGUAGCAGUGAGUGUAAACAGCAUGGCUGCACCUUCCACUUAUGCCAAGUAUCUGUGGAUGCAGCCAGAAAACCAUCAGAGUUACCAGCUUCAAUCCAUAAAAUGCACAAGGCUGGAUGACCUCACUUCAAAUGAUGAGUUGUUGAAGAAGGCUGGAGCAAUGGAUCCCCAUGAUAGCAAGAUUUAAUUGUGAAAGCAUGAAAUUAUUAAGGCCCAAAGGUUGAAGUACGAAGUGAAAUUCUGACUCACCAUCAAGAAUAUUUACGGCCUUGGCAAUACAUCUCAGCAGUC